This 465-nucleotide ribosomal RNA is filed under the name uncultured bacterium. RNAcentral's name for it is "partial 16S ribosomal RNA". It matches the Rfam family "Bacterial small subunit ribosomal RNA", at positions 28 to 507 of the family's 1533-position model. The record is from RNAcentral.
GAUGAACGCUGGCGGCGUGCUUAACACAUGCAAGUCGAACGGAAAGGCCCAAGCUUGCUUGGGUACUCGAGUGGCGAACGGGUGAGUAACACGUGGGUGAUCUGCCCUGCACUUCGGGAUAAGCCUGGGAAACUGGGUCUAAUACCGGAUAGGACCACAUUUUGGAUGGUGUGGUGGAAAGUUUUUCGGUGUGGGAUGAGCUCGCGGCCUAACAGCUUGUUGGUGGGGUAAUGGCCUACCAAGGCGUCGACGGGUAGCCGGCCUGAGAGGGUGUACGGCCACAUUGGGACUGAGAUACGGCCCAGACUCCUACGGGAGGCAGCAGUGGGGAAUAUUGCACAAUGGGCGCAAGCCUGAUGCAGCGACGCCGCGUGGGGGAUGACGGCCUUCGGGUUGUAAACUCCUUUCGCUAGGGACGAAGCGCAAGUGACGGUACCUGGAGAGGAAGCACCGGCUAACUACGUG